UUCCACGGGCCUCGCCCGCCGAAGCCUUACGCAGCGACUCUAAAUAACUGCUCAGUCGGUGGCGCUGUCCACCGGCCACAUUGUCAUUGCGCUGGAAGCCUCUGCCGGGUUACCAGCGACCCGGGUCUCUAAGAUUCGGGCUCACAGAUCAAACGACGGUGGCCGCCGCCUGGCGGUUUAGAUAUGACCGACUCCCUAGAGGUUCCUUUAGGGAAGUUUUGGUUCCGUAGGUGAACCUGCGGAAGGAUCAUUACUGAGAUAGGGUCUUUCGGGGCCCGACCCUCCCACCCUUUGUGUAUAUACCUCUGUUGCUUCGGCGGAUCCCGCGGUCGCCGUGCUGGCUCGCCACGCACCGAUCACGGCCUGCCAGAGGCCCUUUCAAUUCUGAAUUGUCCCGUGCCGUCUGAAUGAACACGCGAAUAAUCUAAAACUUUCAACAACGGAUCUCUUGGUUCUG
This 457-nucleotide unclassified non-coding RNA is filed under the name rhizosphere metagenome. RNAcentral's name for it is "partial ribosomal RNA internal transcribed spacer region". The record is from RNAcentral.